UUAACCACCGGUAAUCUAGCAUAAUAGAUAUCUUAUGUUUUAUAAUGUGCAGCCAAAGAUAUCAAGAGUAACUAUGGAUUUAAUAAAACUAAAUAGCCAUCUCACAACCAGUCUGAAAAAGUCCUCAAUUUCUAAGAUAUUUAAGCACAUUCAAAUUCUGGCGAGGAACUGUCACUGCUUACCCUUACCUCCCCCCCGUCAUCCGUCCCUGCUCAUAAAAACAUCAAAACAUUGUUUAUUGAUUUGAAAACUGAACUUAUCCAAACUUUGAAAUCAAAUAAAUAAUGAGUUAGCGAGAAUUCUUUGACGUUACUUUUUCAGUUUUGAAAAAAAUCUUCUUCCUAUAAAAAAAUAUUUCUAAAAUGUGCAAAGUUACAUUUUUUAUUAUUUAAAAAAAAAUAAAAAUAAACUAA
Long non-coding RNA from Hydra vulgaris (swiftwater hydra), 413 nucleotides. RefSeq lists it as uncharacterized. Lineage: Eukaryota; Metazoa; Cnidaria; Hydrozoa; Anthoathecata; Hydridae. The record is from RefSeq and is a predicted model, not a curated record.